AUGUAUCUGUCAGAACUAUGGACUUGUCUAUGUGUUUUUUCCCCUGUUACCCAGUUUCUGGCGAAAAUUGGAUCUCCGUUCCCCACCUGUUCCCAGGGAUUGAUCGCCAGUUCCACUCCCGACCCAGAGCCCAGCCCACCAUCUCCCCACAGUACGGAGCAUAAGUCCGAGCCCACUGAUGAUGGAGAGCCAAAGCCCAACCCAUCAGACCAGGUGCGAGAGCCGGUGACAGUGUCCACCAUGAGGGAGCAAGCCGUGGACAGUGUGAGUGCGGAGAGGAACUCCGCCCCCUGCACUGCGGCUGAGGCCCUCCUUCGUCCUUGGUUUCCUCAUGCAGCCCUGAGGGGGCUUCCGAUACUCCAGUGCCCAGGACCCUGCCCCCCCGGAUCCUCAGCAUCCCCCUGGCACGUUGGCUCUCCGUCUCCACCUCGGGUUCCUCCUCCACCUGCUCCGCCGCCGUUGUUCGGCCCACUGGAGUCGGCGGCCAUUCCUACUCCAUGGAUCCUCCCACCGUCGGCUCCACCUUGGGCCGUCAUUAUGGCUGUGGCGACCGUCGGCUCGACCUUGGGCCGUCAUUAUGGCUGUGGCCUGGCUCCUCCUGCUCCAAGCUCCUCCCUCUGUCGUCUCCUCCUGGCUCCUCCCUCCGUCGUCUCUGUCUGCCGGCCCCCUCCCUGGAGUCCGUAUGCCUCCUCCUGUUGUUGCCUACGCACCUUCUGGGAGGGGGGUGAAAUGUCAGAACUAUGGACUUGUCUCUAUGUUUUUUGUUUUUUUUCCCCCUGUUAUCCAAUUUCUGUGUCUCCUUGAUUGUUGAUUAGUUCCCAGGUGUGUCUCCUUAGUGCCCAGAUGUGUCUCCUUAGCUCACUCGUUAUCCUGCCUUUUAAAUAUCCUUUUCCUUUCAGCUCAUUUUGGUCGGGUCUACCAGUUAAGAGUCAAGUAUGUGUGUCUUCCUCCUGUUCUCCAUGUUGGAUUUACCCCUGUGUUGGACUAAUAAGACUCUUUCGAUUAUCCUCGGCUCAGUGUUCCUUCCGGCAGCAUAUAGUAUGACAGUAUCAUAAGUCUCAUAUCUUGACAUCUUUAUUAUGCUACUUAAAGCAAACAAAUAUCACUUGUAAGUAAUAAUAAUAAUUUUUUUCUCAAAAAAAGCCAUAAGAUCAGAUAUCAGAUCACAUGAAUGUGUAAUAUAACACAUUUGCUUUAAACUAUUUUUAUUGUAAUAUCGGUUUGAUUAUUUUGAUGCUACCCUUUAAACAGCUGUUGAUAAGUAACUCUGCAACUACAAAUCAACUAGCUGUAAAUAUAUAUGCUAACACUUUAUUUUGAUGGUCCACCAACAGACAUACUGACUAUAAGCAACUUUGCAAGUAUGUCAACAUUCUACCUACCCUAACCUUCACCUAAGUCUACUAAUACUCUAAUGAGAGUUAGCUGACAUGUAGCUGCAAAGUUGCUUAUAGUCAAUAGACAAAGGGGACCAU
This is a long non-coding RNA of Cyprinus carpio (common carp), 1475 nucleotides long. Lineage: Eukaryota; Metazoa; Chordata; Actinopteri; Cypriniformes; Cyprinidae. The record is from Ensembl.